Molecule: ribosomal RNA, 116 nt
Filed under: Fusarium pseudograminearum CS3096
Lineage: Eukaryota; Fungi; Ascomycota; Sordariomycetes; Hypocreales; Nectriaceae
Also listed under: 3 other names
Source: RNAcentral
ACGACCAUACCUGCGAGAAAAUACGGGAUCCCGUCCGCUCUCCCAUCGUCAAGCUCGCAAGGGGUGGAUUAGUAGUUGGGUCGGUGACGACCAGCGAAUACCCGCUGUUGUAUGUU